RNAcentral lists this ribosomal RNA (253 nucleotides) under uncultured bacterium. RNAcentral describes it as "partial 16S ribosomal RNA". It matches the Rfam family "Bacterial small subunit ribosomal RNA", at positions 524 to 776 of the family's 1533-position model. The record is from RNAcentral.
UACGUAGGAUCCAAGCGUUGUCCGGAAUUACUGGGUGUAAAGGGUGCGCAGGCGGACUUGUGCGUCAGAGGUUAAAUGUCACCGCUCAACGGUGAACCUGCCUUUGAUACGGCGAGUCUUGAGUAUGAGAGAGGUAGGUAGAAUUCCUGGUGUAGCGGUGAAAUGCGUAGAUAUCAGGAGGAAUACCAGUGGCGAAGGCGGCCUACUGGCUCAUAACUGACGCUCAGGCACGAAAGCGUGGGUAGCGAACAGG